This 338-nucleotide transfer-messenger RNA is filed under the name Sutterella sp. RNAcentral describes it as "partial transfer-messenger RNA". It matches the Rfam family "transfer-messenger RNA". From Rfam's summary of the family: Bacterial tmRNA, also known as 10Sa RNA or SsrA, is named for its dual tRNA and mRNA-like properties. Lineage: Bacteria; Pseudomonadati; Pseudomonadota; Betaproteobacteria; Burkholderiales; Sutterellaceae. The record is from RNAcentral.
GGGGGUGUCCUGGCUUCGACGGGGCGUAGGACGCUGCGCGGUGCAUGCCGAGGUCUGGUUCCUCGUUAAACAACUAGAAAAAAUAUAAACGCCAAUAACGAGCGUUUCGCUCUCGCCGCCUAAGGGCCGCGAGCGGUGCACCGGAAGGUCUCUGGUCCGGCUUGGGUAAAACCAAGGGCACCGUCAUAUACAGGGACUAAGAGGUGUCGGAGUCAUGACGAUACCUACGAAAAUUUUAGUGACUUGCUCUCGGUAGGCCCGUCCAUCGGCAGUACCAAGAGUGAAAUUUAAAUGAUUGGGCUAAGCAUGUAGAUCCGGCGGAAGAAUCGUUUCGGACA